Molecule: non-coding RNA, 25 nt
Filed under: Rattus norvegicus (Norway rat)
Lineage: Eukaryota; Metazoa; Chordata; Mammalia; Rodentia; Muridae
Source: RNAcentral
UGGACAUGAGUGUUAUGAGAGGCGC